UACGUAGGGGCAAGCGUUGUCCGGAUUUAUUGGGCGUAAAGAGCGUGUAGGCGGCCAGGUAGGUCUGCUGUGAAAACUCGAGGCUCAACCUCGAGCUGUCGGUGGAAACCAUCUGGCUAGAGUCCGGAAGAGGAGAGUGGAAUUCCCGGUGUAGCGGUGAAAUGCGCAGAUAUCGGGAAGAACACCCGUGGCGAAGGCGGCUCUCUGGGACGGUACUGACGCUGAGACGCGAAAGCGUGGGGAGCAAACAGG
RNAcentral lists this ribosomal RNA (252 nucleotides) under uncultured bacterium. RNAcentral's name for it is "partial 16S ribosomal RNA". It matches the Rfam family "Bacterial small subunit ribosomal RNA", at positions 524 to 776 of the family's 1533-position model. The record is from RNAcentral.